GCUGGGCAUGGUGUUAUGUUCCUGUAGUCCAAGCUACUUGGGAGGCUGAGGCAGGAGGAUCACUUGAGCCCAGGAGGUCGAGGCUGCAGUGAGCCAUAAUCAGGCCACUGCACUCCAGCCUGGGCAACAGAGUGAGACCCUGUCUCUA
RNAcentral lists this signal recognition particle RNA (148 nucleotides) under Chlorocebus sabaeus (green monkey). RNAcentral describes it as "Metazoan signal recognition particle RNA". It matches the Rfam family "Metazoan signal recognition particle RNA". Rfam says of the family: The signal recognition particle (SRP) is a universally conserved ribonucleoprotein. It is involved in the co-translational targeting of proteins to membranes. The eukaryotic SRP consists of a 300-nucleotide 7S RNA and six proteins: SRPs 72, 68, 54, 19, 14, and 9. The record is from Rfam by way of RNAcentral. Lineage: Eukaryota; Metazoa; Chordata; Mammalia; Primates; Cercopithecidae.